UAGCAUAAUAAAUUGUUCCUUAAUUGGGAACUGGAAUGAAGGGUUGAACUAUUUUUGAAUUUGUUAUAUUUAAAUAAGUGAAUUUUUAUUAUAAGUAAAAAUACUUAUAUUUUAUAAAGGGACGAUAAGACCCUAGAAGCUUUAAUUUUAAAAAUAUAAGGUAUUCAUAUUUAUAAUUUAUAUUUUAAAAAAAUUUUGAUUGGGGAAAUAUAAAUUAAUAAAAUAAUUUAUUUUAAAAGUGUUAUAUAUAUAUAUUUAACGAUCUUUUAAAUAAGAAUAAAAGGAUUAGUUACUCUAGGGAUAACAGCACGAUAAUUUUGGAUAGAUCAUAUAUAUAAAAUUGAUUGUGACCUCGAUGUUGAAUUAAAAUAUUCUUUAUAAAGCAGAAGUUAUAAAAGAAG
This 401-nucleotide ribosomal RNA is filed under the name Metacrangonyx longicaudus. RNAcentral describes it as "partial 16S ribosomal RNA". The record is from RNAcentral. Lineage: Eukaryota; Metazoa; Arthropoda; Malacostraca; Amphipoda; Metacrangonyctidae.